GAUGAACGCUAGCGGCAGGCUUAAUACAUGCAAGUCGUGGGGCAGCAUGAGUAGCAAUACUUGAUGGCGACCGGCAAACGGGUGAGGAACACGUACACAACCUUCCUUCAAGCGGGGAAUAGCCCAGAGAAAUUUGGAUUAAUACCCCAUAAUAUAUUUGAUAAGGCAUCUUAUUAAUAUUAAAGCUUCGGCACUUGAUGAUGGGUGUGCGGCUGAUUAGAUAGUUGGCGGGGUAACGGCCCACCAAGUCUACGAUCAGUAGCUGAUGUGAGAGCAUGAUCAGCCACACGGGCACUGAGACACGGGCCCGACUCCUACGGGAGGCAGCAGUAAGGAAUAUUGGACAAUGGACGAAAGUCUGAUCCAGCCAUGCCGCGUGAAGGAUUAAGAUCCUCUGGAUUGCAAACUUCUUUAUAUGGGACAAAAAAGGGCAUUCUGUUCACUUGACGGUACCAUAUGAAUAAGCACCGGCUAACUCCGUG
RNAcentral lists this ribosomal RNA (482 nucleotides) under uncultured bacterium. Its description in RNAcentral is "bacterial SSU rRNA". It matches the Rfam family "Bacterial small subunit ribosomal RNA", at positions 28 to 507 of the family's 1533-position model. The record is from RNAcentral.